This 763-nucleotide ribosomal RNA is filed under the name Micrococcus sp. BAB-5219. Its description in RNAcentral is "bacterial SSU rRNA". It matches the Rfam family "Bacterial small subunit ribosomal RNA", at positions 14 to 787 of the family's 1533-position model. The record is from RNAcentral. Lineage: Bacteria; Bacillati; Actinomycetota; Actinomycetes; Micrococcales; Micrococcaceae.
UGAUCCUGGCUCCAGGAUGAACGCUGGCGGCGUGCUUAACACAUGCAAGUCGAACGAUGAAGCCCAGCUUGCUGGGUGGAUUAGUGGCGAACGGGUGAGUAACACGUGAGUAACCUGCCCUUAACUCUGGGGAUAAGCCUGGGAAACUGGGUCUAAUACCGGAUAGGAGCGUCCACCGCAUGGUGGGUGUUGGAAAGAUUUAUCGGUUUUGGAUGGACUCGCGGCCUAUCAGCUUGUUGGUGAGGUAAUGGCUCACCAAGGCGACGACGGGUAGCCGGCCUGAGAGGGUGACCGGCCACACUGGGACUGAGACACGGCCCAGACUCCUACGGGAGGCAGCAGUGGGGAAUAUUGCACAAUGGGCGCAAGCCUGAUGCAGCGACGCCGCGUGAGGGAUGACGGCCUUCGGGUUGUAAACCUCUUUCAGUAGGGAAGAAGCGAAAGUGACGGUACCUGCAGAAGAAGCACCGGCUAACUACGUGCCAGCAGCCGCGGUAAUACGUAGGGUGCGAGCGUUAUCCGGAAUUAUUGGGCGUAAAGAGCUCGUAGGCGGUUUGUCGCGUCUGUCGUGAAAGUCCGGGGCUUAACCCCGGAUCUGCGGUGGGUACGGGCAGACUAGAGUGCAGUAGGGGAGACUGGAAUUCCUGGUGUAGCGGUGGAAUGCGCAGAUAUCAGGAGGAACACCGAUGGCGAAGGCAGGUCUCUGGGCUGUAACUGACGCUGAGGAGCGAAAGCAUGGGGAGGCGAACAGGAUUAGAUACCC